GAGUUUGAUCCUCGGCUCAGGAUAAACGCUGGCGGCGCACAUAAGACAUGCAAGUCGAACGGACUUAACUCAUUCUUUUAGUUUGAGAGCGGUUAGUGGCGGACUGGUGAGUAACACGUAAGCAACCUGCCUAUUAGAGGGGAAUAACAGUGAGAAAUCAUUGCUAAUACCGCAUAUGUUAACAGUAUCGCAUGAUACAGUUAGGAAAGGAGCAAUCCGCUAAUAGAUGGGCUUACGUCUGAUUAGUUAGUUGGUGGGGUAACGGCCUACCAAGACUACGAUCAGUAGCCGGACUGAGAGGUUGAACGGCCACAUUGGGACUGAGAUACGGCCCAGACUCCUACGGGAGGCAGCAGUCGGGAAUAUUGCGCAAUGGAGGAAACUCUGACGCAGUGACGCCGCGUAUAGGAAGAAGGUUUUCGGAUUGUAAACUAUUGUCGUUAGGGAAGAUAAAAGACUGUACCUAAGGAGGAAGCCCCCGGCUAACUAUGUG
Molecule: ribosomal RNA, 493 nt
Filed under: uncultured Eubacteriales bacterium
Lineage: Bacteria; Bacillati; Bacillota; Clostridia; Eubacteriales
Description: bacterial SSU rRNA
Rfam family: Bacterial small subunit ribosomal RNA
Source: RNAcentral